UGCAAACGUACAGUACAGUGACUCAAGUUAGCCCUGUAGUAAGUUUCUCAGUCACAACUGCCCUUAUGGGUGGAUGCCACCUGUGGGUCUGUGGGUGAAAAAUGGGAAAAUCUGUAUGAGGCACUCAGGUGGCCUGCACGAAAUAUCAAGGUUGUAGACAACCCAGAGCCUGUAAGGCGAAAAUGUUCAUGCACAUUUUUGCCCAUUUUGGAUCCACAUUUUUUUCAACCCCCCGUAACCCUGCACACUGCUCAAGCGGCUCGUUAGUGCUGUUCAAGUAAAAGGUGUAUGUUCCUUGUGUGUAGCCUGACUGUUACAAAUGUAAAAAUUAGACAAUCAGAGCAUAAUUCGAUUGGCCAUCCUAUAGGGAUCUUACAGUCACUUACCUAUCACCUGUACUUCUUUUGUGUGCAGUAAUUGCAUGCAGUCUGUAAGUAGCCAGUGUGCGCUAAUGACUGGAGUGCUGCAUAAAUGGCACUGUACUACAGCAUUCCCCAUACAUCACAAGUGCGUGUCACAUACAUUAUUCUCACAAAUACUUCACAAUAUAUUUACCACACGCACGACAAUCAUAUGUUUCAUUUUCAGGACGUCUCUUAACAUGGCCACAUGAGCCUCAAGGGAACUGGAAGGCACACUUGUGCUCAUCUAAAAAUGCAGCCACUUCUCUCUAUGACCGUCUACUGGCUUGGACAACUCAAACCCCCCGCACAGAUGAUGGAGGGCGACUUCCUGGGAAAUCAGGAGGAGAGUGGUUAUACUUUAAUGCAUGCAGGGCCGUCUCCUUGGGACCAUACAGCUGCACAUCCUGAUGCAAGGCGCGCACAUACACAUAUACACACUACAACACGGAGGUGUACAUUGAUAUUUUAAUGGAGAAAGGACGGUGGGAGGAUGAGGUUUGAAAGGGGCCUCUAAAAGUUGACUGACGGAUUCUGACAGCUGAAUACUAAUCAUGAGAUCAACCUCUGGGUGAAUCUACAGGAACUCACUGGGGCACCUGGCUAGGAAAAGAAUAAAAAGGAUUAACAGUGAAUACAGACGGCUUAAAGAGAACAGAGAGACAUCAGUGGACAAACUCUGCUUUGUGGAAGAAAAGGCUGAGAGGAAGAAAAGAGCAAAAAUUCUGAAUUAGAA
This 1137-nucleotide long non-coding RNA is filed under the name Oryzias sinensis (Chinese medaka). RNAcentral describes it as "lncRNA (ENSOSIG00000007805.1)". Lineage: Eukaryota; Metazoa; Chordata; Actinopteri; Beloniformes; Adrianichthyidae. The record is from RNAcentral.